UAAAGGGUUAAUGGGGUGGGAGUGAUGGGAUCAACGGGAAAUCCUGUUUGUGUCCUCAACCCGCAGCUGCCCGCCAGGUCACGGUGAGAGCCGAGGGGAAAUUAUGGGGUGGGAGCGAUGGGAAAUCCUAUUUGUGUCCUAAAUCUGUAGCUGGCAGCCAGGUCACGGUGAGUGCUAAAGGGUUAAUUAUGGGGUGGGAGUGAUGGGAUCAAUGGAAAAUCCUAUUUGUGCCCUAAAUCUGCAGCUGCCUGCAAGGUAAUGGUGAGUGCUCAGGAGUUAAUGGGGUGGGAUCAAUGGGAUCAAUGGGAUCCAUGGGAAAUCCUGUUUGUGUCCUCAACCUGCAGCUGGCAGCCAAGUCACGGUGAGAGGUGAAGGGAAAUUAUGGGGUGGGAUCAAUGGGAUCCAUGGGAAAUCCUGUUUGUGUCCUAAAUCUGCAGCUGGCAGCCAGGUCGUGGUGAGUGCUAAAGGGUUAAUUAUGGGGUGGGAGUGAUGGGAUCAAUGGGAUCAAUGGGAAAUGCUGUUUGUGUCCUAAAUGUGCAGCUGGCAGCCAGGUCACAGUGAGUCGUAAAGGGUUAAUGGGGUGGGAUCAAUGGGAUCGAUGGGAUCAAUGGGAAAUCCUAUUUGUGUCCUAAAUCUGCAGCUGCCAGCCAGGUCACGGUGAGAGGUGAAGGGAAAUUAUGGGGUGGGAGUGAUGGGAAAUCCUAUUUGUGUCCUAAAUGUGCAGCUGGCAGCCAGGUCACGGUGAGAGCUGAGGGGUUAAUGGGGUGGGAUCAAUGGGAUCGAUGGGAUCCAUGGGAAAUCCUGUUUGUGUCCUAAAUCUGCAGCUGGCAGCCAAGUCACGGUGAGAGCCGAGGGGAAAUUAUGGGGUGGGAGCGAUGGGAAAUCCUAUUUGUGUCCUAAAUGUGCAGCUGCCUGCCAGGUCACGGUGAGAGCUGAGGGGUUAAUGGGGUGGGAUCAGUGGGAUCGAUGGGAAAUCCUAUUUGUGUCCUAAAUCUGCAGUUGUCUGCCAGGUCGCGGUGAGUCCUAAAGGGUUAAUUAUGGGGUGGGAGUGAUGGGAUCAAUGGGAAAUCCUGUUUGUGUCCUAAAUCCACAGCUGCCAGCCAGGUCAUGGUGAGUCCCAAAGGGUUAAUGGGGUGGGAGUGAUGGGAUCAAUGGGAUCAAUGGGAUCAAUGGGAAAUCCUGUUUGCGCCCUCAACCCACAGCUGUCCCCGUGGGUCCCCGCUGAUGUCCCUGUCCCAGGUCCCUGGGGAUACUGGGGGGUCCCUGGUGA
Long non-coding RNA from Corvus hawaiiensis (hawaiian crow), 1270 nucleotides. RefSeq lists it as uncharacterized. NCBI's taxonomy places the organism in Eukaryota, Metazoa, Chordata, Aves, Passeriformes, Corvidae. The record is from RefSeq and is a predicted model, not a curated record. The transcript has 3 exons.